GCCUACUCUAGGGGUAGGUGAAGGAGAGCUGUUUCAGUAUUUCCAGCCAGACCAGCCAUGCAGCCCACCUUGAGCAGCUUGUGCGGUGGAAGAAGUGAGAAUAGUCCCCCGUUCUCUCACACAGAAACUCCCCUGGUCUCUCUAUCAGCAACAGAAAACCAAGCCAGAUGGACUUUGCAACUAAUCAAGUUUGGGAUUUACUGUCUUCUGACCAACCACAGUGACUGAGAUGGGGCUGGGACCAGAAGCCCAGUGGGAGUGAACAGCCGAGGGAACCAGAGUCUGGCUGAGCUUGUGGCCAGAUAUUUAAACUGGGUCCAGCCACACCUGCAAAACCAGGGCAAGGCAGUACCGGGAAACUGGCUGGAGUUGCUGCGGUUUGGGGAAGUUGCACACCCUUUCAUAGAUACCUCCCUUAACCCUCAGUGCAGAUUCUGAGAAAACUCCAAGGCUUCUCUGCCUAACCUAGUAUAACCCCUGUUCCCUACUACAUACAUAUAACUUUUCCAUUCCCCCAGUAAUUGACCCAAAGUCCCUGCCUCUAGCUGUGCCCAUUGUGCAAUGAUCAGAAUCCCUUGUUUCAAUAGUAUUUUGACUUCUUUAAGAAUACUCUGUAUUUGGAAGCUGAAACCUCACUUGGAUCCAUUGUUGGGAACCAAGUACGGAGCCUUACAUAGCCCGGAGGAGUUUCAGGAGCAAUGCCACUUUCCCUUCCAUCCCUCCCUCUGGGUCUGGCUCUUCCCAUAGUCCAUUUUCCCCUUUUAUCUCCCAUUAAUUUCUGUCUUCCUCUCUCACCUUUUCCAUGUCUCUAGCAUCCUCCAGGAUUUAAAAUCAUCUUUACCC
Molecule: long non-coding RNA, 843 nt
Filed under: Homo sapiens (human)
Lineage: Eukaryota; Metazoa; Chordata; Mammalia; Primates; Hominidae
Description: long non-coding RNA NONHSAT253752
Source: RNAcentral